Molecule: ribosomal RNA, 406 nt
Filed under: uncultured bacterium
Lineage: Bacteria
Description: partial 16S ribosomal RNA
Rfam family: Bacterial small subunit ribosomal RNA
Source: RNAcentral
AUUGAACGCUGGCGGCAGGCCUAACACAUGCAAGUCGAACGAGUGGCGGACGGGUGAGUAAUGUCUGGGAAACUGCCUGAUGGAGGGGGAUAACUACUGGAAACGGUAGAUAAUACCGCAUACCAUCAGAUGUGCCCAGAUGGGAUUAGCUCGUUGGUGGGGUAACGGCUCACCAAGGCGACGAUCCCUAGCUGGUCUGUGAGGAUGACCACCAACACUGGAACUGGUACACGGUCCAGACUCCUAAGGGAGGCAGCAUUGGGGAAUAUUGCACAAUGGGCGAAAGCCUAAUGCGGCCAUGCCACGUGUCUUAAGAAGGCCUUCGUGUGGUAAGUUACAGUGAGCGGGGAGGCGUUACCCGCAGAAGAAGCACCGGCUAACUCCGUUCCAGCAGCCGCGGUAAUUC